RNAcentral lists this long non-coding RNA (3129 nucleotides) under Homo sapiens (human). RNAcentral's name for it is "HSALNT0043682". The record is from RNAcentral. Lineage: Eukaryota; Metazoa; Chordata; Mammalia; Primates; Hominidae.
GUGAGUGAAUUAGGAGCUGAAGCAGUAAAGUAGCUUUCCCUGUGACCCUGAUGUGUCGGGCAUUUCUGUCUUAGACUAAAAGCAUAAUAAAAAAGGCACUUUGUUUAGGUUAACAGAGCAUUAUAUAACUGGAAAGUUUUACAGUUUUAUAUAUAUAGUGAAUAGUUUGUAGAGGAUAAAAAGACUUCCCUUUGGUUUAUUAUUUGGGUAAAAUAAAAACCCACGAAUCAUUUAAGGAUGCAUUUCUUUUUCUUUUUUCUGCCUUUUUUUUUUUAAGACAAAAGCUUGAAGGCAUAAAAUGGAGUUAUUUUCAUCGGGAUAUCACCCUCGAUGCUGCUGCUUUACUACAUGUUCAUAGUCAAAAUUAUUUCAUGUUUCCCUUGAAUAACUACGAUCAGUUUGAAAACAGCUUUGUUAAUUAGUAAGAGAUGACGCAAUAUAUCACUGCAUCUUUAGGGCUCUGGCGCCAGCUAGUGGUAGGAGAGGGGAGCCGCCCUGUCGCUCUCAAAUCUGGGAAGGCGUCGGUCUUCUCGCGUCCCCUUAUCCCUCAUCCUCCUCAUUUUUUUUUUCCAUCAGCAUAAUGGGGGAAUCAUUGCAGUGUGGCCAGAGAGGAGCAGACGAGAUUAUAGAUGAAAGUAGAGAAAAACGGUGGGCAGGGGCAGGGAGAGGAAAGGCCAGACAAAUGCAAUCAUUUCUCCAAAGGAUUUGAGAAGAGAUCAUUUAUUUGAAAUAUUCCUGCCAUGUUGAUGGAGCAGCUCAAUCUUUUGCCAGUGAAUCUUUAGCGUUUUGUUUUUCAUUUGUAGAUAUGGUUGAACAUAUACUUAGGACACGUAAUAACUAUGGAACUUCAUCACAAACACAGCACUGAGGACAUGUUCUGAAUACAGACAAUAUGGAGGCCUCAGGCUCAGAGGAUGGCAGAGUCUUCAGAUGGAUGGAGGGAGCUGCAGUCACUGAACCACUGCAGGGAGAGAAGUACUCACAGACCAGGAACGCUCAACUUGGACUGUUAUGUGACAGAAAGAACUUGAUGUAUACCUCCUGACCUGUUCAUCUUGUAGCUGCCUCUUGACAGGUGCCAAGAACUGUGAUUUGUGCUACAGAUACACAGUCUCCUUUCUCAAAGUGUUCUGAGUUCAGUUGGGUUGACAGGCAAGUGAACAGAACAGAUAUUUGCAGUAGGAGGAGAAUGAUAUACUAAAGGACUGCAACCUGGAACAAGGAGAGACAAAGGGAAGGAGGAGUCUGGAGCCAUAUUGAAGAUGAAAUUGAGAUAUGGACUAGGUGGUGGAUCGUUUUUAUAAGAGGACAUAAAAGAGGAUGCUAAAGCUAAUUGCCACAAUCAGAACUCAAAGACCUAGCAAAUGCAAGGUGGUAUUUAUUCUAAACUCAGCAAAGUAGUAGAAAAAUAGUUUUGAGAACAGUUUUAAGGAGACUAGGGUAACAGUGAGAAAAUAGUUCAUGGCUAGUCUGGACUUAGGACUUUAGGGUCGGCCUGGUGAAUUGAAGGGAAGCAGCUGAUACACUCUGGUUGCCUUGUACCCUGGCUUUUGGUGCUUUCCCAUGUGCUGUAGUCAUCAGUAAUCUGGAGGAAAUGCUAUAGAGGCAAAGACACCAUUAGAUGGGUGCUCAACUAGCAAACAGGAUGUGACCACAGAGUAGUUACCCCAAGACCAGGUCAGCAUGACCCAAAAGGCAGAAGAGGACAAGGUUUAUGAGUGUUGGGCUGAGCUCACGCCUGCUUGAACAUCUCAAGAACAAUGUUAAUGAUGGAAGAGAGAGAUAGGAGAGGAAACUCAUUAAACUUGCCAAAUAUGAGAUGUAGCUGGGUUGGCUCUAUGUAAGCAUGGCAGAAAAGCAUUUAGAAGUCAUAAUACAUUUAAAAUAAGAGCUACCAGCAUAGCAGUGACAUGAAGAAGGCAUGUGUUUUGUUAAAAAGUUUUAAAUACUCCUAUAAAAGAUAGUAAGGUACAAGUUGUUUGCUUGAUCAGCAAUGCUAAUUGCCUUUGAAGUGCAUGCCUGGGGAUUCCAUGGAGAGAGGACCCUGUUUCUCCACCCCAACCCAAAUUCACUGAGUUUAUGUCAGAAUGUUCAGAAGCCCCUUUACAAAUUCCUCUGAUUGCCUUGUUAGACACUGGCCACCUCCCUGAACCUGGGCCAAGAUGAGGGUCUACACCUUGGCUUAGUUCUACUAUGAAAGACUUUCCUGCAGUAAAAGUUACCUGUCUGAAACAUUCAGAAGAGUGAAAAUGCCACAUCUCCAAUUUCCAGCAAUAUAUUUGUCUGCCAUGAUUUGGCCUGGAAGCUUAAGCAGGAAGACCACUUGGAGCCAGACUUCAGAGUGAUCUGUCUCUAAGGAAUAACUUUCAUAUUGCAGCGUUCGGUUUUGCAAUUCUUCCUAAGCUACUCUAAAUUCGCAGCAUAAAUCUGCAGAAAGACUUCACCCUCCACAUCAAACCCUUAUAAGGAUCCAUUUCUGCUCUCAUUUUAGAAUAUCUUUUCUAAUAGCUAAAGGCAGACAGAGGCAAACCAAGAAAUCCAGACUUUGCAUCAACGGGUUAAAUCAUAUGUCAAAGGUGCAACCAUAACGUAUUACAAGCUUCUCAUCACAUAAUACAUCACUCAAGAAAAAAUAUUUGGGCAGCUUUUCUAAUUCAUCUUCCUGGUGUUAAAGGAGCACAUCUCCAGUGUUCGUGUCUUCUGUUUCAAUUAAAGCAAUCAUGCCUACUCUUUUAGGAAACUACUAAGGUUUAUUACCUCUUUGUUUCACUGCUAAUAUUCAGCUUCUCCUUGUGGUCUCCCCUUCCAAAUACAUAUUUUUUUCUUUCUAUCCGGUUUUGCUUCUCACCACAAUAUACACUUGUGGCUAUUGUUUGAUAAAAUGGCCACUAUAAAGAUGUAACUUGCUUAACAAAUAUCAGCAAGUGUUUAUGGUUUCCUGUGUACUUGAUGCACUGAGUGGGUGGAAGUGGGUAAGAGAAAGAUGAGGUGGUUCAUGUUCCCAGUAGGAAGAGAGAAUGUCAAUACUCAAAAUAGCUAGAAAACAAUUCACCAUCAGUAUUGAGACAGGCAUUUCAUUACUGUAUGGGUAAUAAUUAAGAAAUUUAAAAUAAAAACAUUGGCCCUCGU